Carassius gibelio (silver crucian carp) is the source of this 885-nucleotide long non-coding RNA. RefSeq lists it as uncharacterized. The record is from RefSeq and is a predicted model, not a curated record. Lineage: Eukaryota; Metazoa; Chordata; Actinopteri; Cypriniformes; Cyprinidae. The transcript has 2 exons.
ACCUCCAGAUAUUUCCUGCUUUAAAUGCUGCAUGUUAUCUUCCCCCUUCUACUUCCUCCUCAUGCUGGUGGCUUAUUAGUGAUCACACACAUGCUGUCCGCUUCACACAAACACUCAUCAGCGCCUGAUGCAUACGUGCCCCGGAGAGCACACAUCCCCAUGGAAGCGACACCGGCCAACACGAGGAGACCUGCAGAUCCAACAAGCGCUGAAGCGAGGAACCCAAAGGUCUAUUCACACAUCUGCCAGCCCCUCUCUCUGAUCUAGACUCUUCUCUUAGAGUAUUUGACAGACUGUGGUUGACACUCGAUUUAAGGGGGUGUCAGUUUGUCAAAUACCCCAAGAGAGGGGGCACGAGUCUUCAAAGUUCAGCGACACCUCGUUUGCCUCAGGCAAGCUUCGUACACCCUCAUGUUCAACCGUUUGCAGCAGAGCAUGUGUAAGAUUAGCUAAUAAUGCUUGUUCAAAAUGUCUUCAGAAUGUCAGAUAAGCAGAACCACGGGAUGUCUUCAGUAUAAUCUAAUCAUUUAUAGUGUGCAUAUGUGUAUAUUGCUGCAAUCUCUCUGGAUGGAUGAACAGGUAGAUUGGAAAAAUAGAUGGAAAAAAAAAUGCCAGAAAAGUAGCAUUAAUCCGUGCAGUGCCGUCUGUAUCAGUUUUGUUACACUAAAUGUUAUAAUAUAUAUGUUAUAAUAAAGUACUCUUAAAUACAGGUACUUAAUAUUAUUUAGAUAACAAGUGUUUAGCAUGCUAAGCAUACUAAAAGCUGUUGAUGACAGUUUGAGUGCACAAGUUUCUUGCUACAAAAAAUAAUUGUGAAAUUUGUUUCAUUGUCUUUGUCUGUUGCAAUGCAUGUGGGAGUGUGAAUGCAUGUAAAUGAUAUCUUAA